This 379-nucleotide ribosomal RNA is filed under the name uncultured eukaryote. RNAcentral describes it as "partial 18S ribosomal RNA". It matches the Rfam family "Eukaryotic small subunit ribosomal RNA", at positions 592 to 976 of the family's 1831-position model. The record is from RNAcentral.
CAAUAGCGUAUAUUUAAGUUGUUGCAGUUAAAAAGCUCGUAGUUGGAUUUCGGAUGGGACUUGCCGGUCCGUCGUUUCGAUGUGCACUGGCCAGUACUAUCUUGUUGUCGGGGACUAGCUCCUGGGCUUCACUGUCCGGGACUAGGAGCUGACGAGGUUACUUUGAGUAAAUUAGAGUGUUCAAAGCAAGCCUACGCUCUGAAUACAUUAGCAUGGAAUAACACGAUAGGACUCUGGCUUAUCUUGUUGGUCUGUGAGACCAGAGUAAUGAUUAAGAGGGACAGUCGGGGGCAUUCGUAUUUCAUUGUCAGAGGUGAAAUUCUUGGAUUUAUGAAAGACGAACUUCUGCGAAAGCAUUUGUCAAGGAUGUUUUCAUUAA